UGAGGAUGAUGUCAAGUCAGCAUGACCUUUAUAUCCAGGGCUACACACACGCUACAAUGGUCUGUACAAUAGGUUGCGAAACCGCGAGGUGGAGCCAAUCCUCAAAGUCUGUCUCAGUUCAGAUUGUAGGCUGCAACUCGCCUGCAUGAAGUUGGAGUUGCUAGUAAACGCAGGUCAGCUAUACUGCGUUGAAUACGUUCCCGGGGUUU
This 209-nucleotide ribosomal RNA is filed under the name uncultured Leptolinea sp. RNAcentral's name for it is "partial 16S ribosomal RNA". It matches the Rfam family "Bacterial small subunit ribosomal RNA", at positions 1174 to 1382 of the family's 1533-position model. Lineage: Bacteria; Bacillati; Chloroflexota; Anaerolineae; Anaerolineales; Anaerolineaceae. The record is from RNAcentral.